This 75-nucleotide transfer RNA is filed under the name Schistocerca americana (American grasshopper). RNAcentral's name for it is "tRNA-Ser". It matches the Rfam family "tRNA". Rfam says of the family: Transfer RNA (tRNA) molecules are approximately 80 nucleotides in length. Their secondary structure includes four short double-helical elements and three loops (D, anti-codon, and T loops). Further hydrogen bonds mediate the characteristic L-shaped molecular structure. tRNAs have two regions of fundamental functional importance: the anti-codon, which is responsible for specific mRNA codon recognition, and the 3' end, to which the tRNAs corresponding amino acid is attached (by aminoacyl-tRNA synthetases). tRNAs cope with the degeneracy of the genetic code in two manners: having more than one tRNA (with a specific anti-codon) for a particular amino acid; and 'wobble' base-pairing, i.e. permitting non-standard base-pairing at the 3rd anti-codon position. RNAcentral also lists the same sequence under 4 other names. Lineage: Eukaryota; Metazoa; Arthropoda; Insecta; Orthoptera; Acrididae. The record is from RNAcentral.
GCUUGGGUAGCUCAGUUGGUAGAGCACUUGCCCGUGAAAGGCAAAGGUCCCGAGUUCGAGUCUCGGUCCGGAACA